Molecule: ribosomal RNA, 305 nt
Filed under: uncultured bacterium
Lineage: Bacteria
Description: bacterial SSU rRNA
Rfam family: Bacterial small subunit ribosomal RNA
Source: RNAcentral
CCUACGGGGCGCAGCAGUGAGGAAUAUUGGUCAAUGGGAGAGAUCCUGAACCAGCCAAGCCGCGUGAGGGAAGACGGCCCUAUGGGUUGUAAACCUCUUUUGUCGGAGAACAAAACCCGGGACGUGUCCCGGACUGCGUGUAUCCGAAGAAAAAGCAUCGGCUAACUCCGUGCCAGCAGCCGCGGUAAUACGGAGGAUGCGAGCGUUAUCCGGAUUUAUUGGGUUUAAAGGGUGCGUAGGCGGGCUUUUAAGUCAGCGGUAAAAAUUCGGGGCUCAACCCCGUCCGGCCGUUGAAACUGGGGGCC